AUAUAUGAAAGAAAGGUAAUGAAGUUGAUGACGCUGUCGUUUGACAUGUGAUCUGUCAUGAACUUAAGUAUAAAAAGUCGUGACUUGUGCACUUUCUUCACUCAUAAAUGAUGAACUCAUAUUAGAUAUUAUAUACAAAUCGUAGUUUAAAAACUAAUGAAGGAGGAUAUUGUCUAUGUUCUGGAAAGCUUUCCUUAAAGAAGUAAAAUAUUAUGCGAUCUCUACCUUACAAGCUUCAUACAUGAGUACAAUAGCGUUUUGUUCUCAUAACACACCUACCCCAGGUCUCGAUCCCUCGCUCAAGAAGAAGCGUGCCUAUAAAAAUCAGCAAAAGUGUCAAAUUAUAAAAAGGGCCAAGUCGCCCAAGACAGGCCCGAAAAAACAACCUCCUGAAUACGAUAGAAAAUCUGGUGAAAAUAUAUUUUGUAUGCGAAAUAUGGAGGGGGUUUAUUGCUCUUUUAGACAGGCGCCAAGACUAAGGUAAUUAAAAGGGUGAAAAAAUGGUCGGGACAGAAGAGCAAUUAUACAUGCAAUAGAUAAGAACUGUGGGAUUUACCAAUAAUUUUAUGUACACAGGCAAUCGUUUUAAAGUGUAAGCUUCAUAAAGUAAUAAAAAACACAAAAAAAAAUUGUAAAAGCGUAGGUAAGAUUAGUGUACAUUCAUAAUUUUUCUUGAAGGUAUGAAAAUUACAUCCAGGAAAGAUCCGGCAUUGACGCAUCUGAGAGAUAUUUAUUCAACUAAUGUUGUCGCCUUCAGCAUAACUUCCAUUAGAUAUAAUAUACUUGUGCCAGCGCUUCUUCCAAUCCUCGAAACACAUCAAUAUUAAGAAUAUAUUUCAAAAUAUUAAAACUGAAUUCUAUGGAAUUCUCAAUUAAAUAUCUCCGACUCAAUAUCGUCAUGCACUUUAACCAAACAAGAAUGGCACCCCUUCAUGUUUCUAAACGAUUAAUCACAAAUCUUCCCUUUCAUUUUCAAAUAAUAGAAACUUAUUUAAAAUGUCACAUGGUUCAAGAUUGAUCGUGCCGAUCAUAGAUUGAUUCAUGGAUUAAGCCGUCAAUAUACAGGAAAAUAAUCAAAAGCAUGUCGAAGGGAACGGAGGUUUUUAAUGGUGUUUUAGGGGUGAACCGGCUUGUUUUCUAGGGGAUGAUGGUGUCUAAGUAUAUUGACCUGGUAUAUUUUUUAUUUGAUAAAUUGAUUCUUUGGCAAACAUUUAUAAAAAAUUAUAGGGAAAAUAUUAGCAAAAGCUACUCUAUAUAAGAUUUUUAUACACUGAAUGUUUCAAUAGGAGGUUAAAAUUUUAGUGCUCAAUAAAACAUGGUUUUCUGUAGUAUUGAAAUA
Molecule: long non-coding RNA, 1339 nt
Organism: Anthonomus grandis grandis
Lineage: Eukaryota; Metazoa; Arthropoda; Insecta; Coleoptera; Curculionidae
Exons: 2
Source: RefSeq, a predicted model, not a curated record